AGUGAACGCUGGCGGUAGGCCUAACACAUGCAAGUCGAACGGCAGCACAGUACUAGCUUGCUCUUACGGGUGGCGAGUGGCGGACGGGUGAGGAAUACAUCGGAAUCUACUUUUUCGUGGGUGAUAACGUAGGGAAACUUACGCUAAUACCGCAUACGACCUACGUGUGAAAUCAUGGGAUCUUCGGACCUUGCGCGAUUGAAUGAGCCGAUGUCGGAUUAGCUAGUUGGCGGGGUAAAGGCCCACCAAGGCGACGCUCCGUAGCUGGUCUGAGAGGAUGAUCAGCCACACUGGAACUGAGACACGGUCCAGACUCCUACGGGAGGCAGCAGUGGGGAAUAUUGGACAAUGGGCGCAAGCCUGAUCCAGCCAUACCGCGUGGGUGAAGAAGGCCUUCGGGUUGUAAAGCACUUUUGUUGGGAAAGAAAAGCAGCAGGUUAAUACCCCGCUGUUCUGACGGUACCAAAAGAAUAAGCACCGGCUAACUUCGUG
RNAcentral lists this ribosomal RNA (492 nucleotides) under uncultured bacterium. RNAcentral's name for it is "partial 16S ribosomal RNA". It matches the Rfam family "Bacterial small subunit ribosomal RNA", at positions 29 to 507 of the family's 1533-position model. The record is from RNAcentral.